GCCCUUAGAGUUUGAUCCUGGCUCAGGAUGAACGCUAGCUACAGGCUUAACACAUGCAAGUCGAGGGGAAACGACAUCGAAAGCUUGCUUUCGAUGGGCGUCGACCGGCGCACGGGUGAGUAACGCGUAUCCAACCUGCCCAUCACUUGGGGAUAACCUUGCGAAAGUAAGACUAAUACCCAAUGACGUCUCUAGAAGACAUCUGAAGGAGAUUAAAGAUUUAUCGGUGAUGGAUGGGGAUGCGUCUGAUUAGCUUGUUGGCGGGGUAACGGCCCACCAAGGCGACGAUCAGUAGGGGUUCUGAGAGGAAGGUCCCCCACAUUGGAACUGAGACACGGUCCAAACUCCUACGGGAGGCAGCAGUGAGGAAUAUUGGUCAAUGGGCGAGAGCCUGAACCAGCCAAGUAGCGUGCAGGAUGACGGCCCUAUGGGUUGUAAACUGCUUUUAUAAGGGAAUAAAGUGAGCCUCGUGAGGCUUUUUGCAUGUACCUUAUGAAUAAGGACCGGCUAAUUCCGUGCCAGCAGCCGCGGUAAUACGGAAGGUCCGAGCGUUAUCCGGAUUUAUUGGGUUUAAAGGGAGCGUAGGCCGGAGAUUAAGCGUGUUGUGAAAUGUAGACGCUCAACGUCUGCACUGCAGCGCGAACUGGUUUCCUUGAGUACGCACAAAGUGGGCGGAAUUCGUGGUGUAGCGGUGAAAUGCUUAGAUAUCACGAAGAACUCCGAUUGCGAAGGCAGCUCACUGGAGCGCAACUGACGCUGAAGCUCGAAAGUGCGGGUAUCGAACAGGAUUAGAUACCCUGGUAGUCCGCACGGUAAACGAUGGAUGCCCGCUGUUGGUCUGAAUAGGUCAGCGGCCAAGCGAAAGCAUUAAGCAUCCCACCUGGGGAGUACGCCGGCAACGGUGAAACUCAAAGGAAUUGACG
This 923-nucleotide ribosomal RNA is filed under the name uncultured bacterium. RNAcentral describes it as "bacterial SSU rRNA". It matches the Rfam family "Bacterial small subunit ribosomal RNA", at positions 1 to 915 of the family's 1533-position model. The record is from RNAcentral.